AUACGGAGGAUCCGAGCGUUAUCCGGAUUUAUUGGGUUUAAAGGGAGCGUAGGUGGGAUAUUAAGUCAGCUGUGAAAGUUUGGGGCUCAACCUUAAAAUUGCAGUUGAUACUGGUUUCCUUGAGUACGGUAUAGGUGGGCGGAAUUCGUGGUGUAGCGGUGAAAUGCUUAGAUAUCACGAAGAACUCCGAUCGCGAAGGCAGCUCACCGGGCCGGAACUGACACUGAUGCUCGAAAGUGCGGGUAUCAAACAGGAUUAGAUACCCUGGUAGUCCGCACAGUAAACGAUGAAUACUCGCUGUUUGCGAUACACUGUAAGCGGCCAAGCGAAAGCGUUAAGUAUUCCACCUGGGGAGUACGCCGGCAACGGUGAAACUCAAAUGAAUUGACGGGG
RNAcentral lists this ribosomal RNA (393 nucleotides) under uncultured bacterium. Its description in RNAcentral is "partial 16S ribosomal RNA". It matches the Rfam family "Bacterial small subunit ribosomal RNA", at positions 523 to 918 of the family's 1533-position model. The record is from RNAcentral.